ACGCUCGACACCUACGGGAGGCCGCAGUGGGGAAUAUUGCACAAUGGGGGAAACCCUGAUGCAGCAACGCCGCGUGAAGGAAGACGGUUUUCGGAUUGUAAACUUCUGUUCUUAGUGAAGAUAGUGACGGUAGCUAAGGAGCAAGCCACGGCUAACUACGUGCUAGCAGCCGCGGUAAUCUGAGCGGGCUGGCAAGGC
RNAcentral lists this ribosomal RNA (198 nucleotides) under uncultured bacterium. Its description in RNAcentral is "partial 16S ribosomal RNA". It matches the Rfam family "Bacterial small subunit ribosomal RNA", at positions 328 to 539 of the family's 1533-position model. The record is from RNAcentral.